CAUAGGUGAUGCAUCAAGGAGCAAAACUGCACUCCUUUAACACUACCACUUUGAAAAUGCAUCUAAAGAGCCGUCAUCCUGAACAGCACCAAGAGUCUCUGGAAGCUCUCCCACGCGACGGCCUAAAUCACUGAACGCCUGCACAGAGGUUGAGUGAGCUCUGACCUGUUACGCCGAAAACCUCUGCACGACAGCCUGAUCAAGGAGGAUCUACUCUUUGUAAAGAGAGAUCCGGUUCUUCUGGGAUGACUGAUGCUGACUCCUCUUCCCACUACCGCCUUCCUCUCAGAGUUUUAAACACCACAAAGAAAUCAUUACCAAGAAACCUGCAUUAAUUUGAAUUAGAUAUGAUUAGCAGGCCUUCAGCUGUUUAUCGUUGGACAUGCGGAUGCGGCUUGGAUCCGGUCGGAGCAGGACGCCAUGACAAGUCCAACAUCCAUCAAGCCUGCACGUGUGCUGUGACGCUCAGGCUUAGCCCUCCCCCUCUCCUGGCUGCAGUUUAAAUAUCAGGUUUAAUUAGUGUGCAACCUGCUGUGUGUGCAGCAGGAGUCCUGGUAUGUAUAGUCACAGUCCUACAAAAGCUGCACACCCAGGAAGCUGAAGACCUUCUAAAGGGUAACACUCUGCAGCUUUAACUCAGGUGUAAGGUUCAAUAAAAUGUGUGAUGCACACUCUCACUGAAGGGUUUAAUGAGCAUUUAUAUAUUUGGUAUAUUUGCAUUUAUAGGCUGCAUGCCAGUCAGUUACAGGGAUGAAUGUUAUGCAGGAAGCAGUAAAGUAAUAAUGAAUAACUUUCCAUUGCAAAAUAGUAAGAAGAAGAAUAUAACAGCAUGCA
Molecule: long non-coding RNA, 834 nt
Organism: Notolabrus celidotus (New Zealand spotty)
Lineage: Eukaryota; Metazoa; Chordata; Actinopteri; Labriformes; Labridae
Exons: 3
Source: RefSeq, a predicted model, not a curated record